This 446-nucleotide ribosomal RNA is filed under the name uncultured bacterium. RNAcentral's name for it is "bacterial SSU rRNA". It matches the Rfam family "Bacterial small subunit ribosomal RNA", at positions 330 to 793 of the family's 1533-position model. The record is from RNAcentral.
GCCAGACUCCUACGGGAGGCAGCAGUGGGGAAUAUUGCACAAUGGGGGAAACCCUGAUGCAGCGACGCCGCGUGAGCGAUGAAGUAUUUCGGUAUGUAAAGCUCUAUCAGCAGGGAAGAAAAUGACGGUACCUGACUAAGAAGCCCCGGCUAACUACGUGCCAGCAGCCGCGGUAAUACGUAGGGGGCAAGCGUUAUCCGGAUUUACUGGGUGUAAAGGGAGCGUAGACGGCGGUGCAAGCCAGAUGUGAAAGCCCGGGGCCCAACCCCGGGACUGCUCUUGGAACUGCGUGGCUAGAGUGCAGGAGGGGCAGGCGGAAUUCCUGGUGUAGCGGUGAAAUGCGUAGAGAUCGGGAGGAACACCAGUGGCGAAGGCGGCCUACUGGGCUUUAACUGACGCUGAAGCACGAAAGCGUGGGUAGCAAACAGGAUUAGAUACCCCAGUAC